This 380-nucleotide ribosomal RNA is filed under the name uncultured bacterium. RNAcentral's name for it is "bacterial SSU rRNA". It matches the Rfam family "Bacterial small subunit ribosomal RNA", at positions 917 to 1322 of the family's 1533-position model. The record is from RNAcentral.
GGGCCCGCACAAGCGGUGGAGCAUGUGGUUUAAUUCGAUGAUACGCGAGGAACCUUACCAGGGCUUAAAUGUAGUCUGACAGCUUUAGAGAUAGAGUUUUCUUCGGACAGAUUACAAGGUGCUGCAUGGUUGUCGUCAGCUCGUGCCGUGAGGUGUCAGGUUAAGUCCUAUAACGAGCGCAACCCCUGUCGUUAGUUGCCAGCAUGUCAUGAUGGGGACUCUAACGAGACUGCCGGUGCAAACCGCGAGGAAGGUGGGGAUGACGUCAAAUCAUCACGGCCCUUACGUCCUGGGCCACACACGUGCUACAAUGGUGGUGACAAUGGGUUAAUCCCAAAAGCCAUCUCAGUUCGGAUUGGGGUCUGCAACUCGACCCCAUG